Molecule: ribosomal RNA, 774 nt
Filed under: uncultured Neocallimastigales
Lineage: Eukaryota; Fungi; Neocallimastigomycota; Neocallimastigomycetes; Neocallimastigales
Description: partial large subunit ribosomal RNA
Rfam family: Eukaryotic large subunit ribosomal RNA
Source: RNAcentral
UAUCUCUGUAGAGUCUGCAUAUCAAUAAGCGGAGGAAAAGAAACUAACUAAGGAUUCCCUCAGUAACGGCGAGUGAAGCGGGAAGAGCUCAAAUUUGAAAUCUUCAAGGUUCUACCUUGACGAAUUGUAGUUUAAAGAAGUGUUUUCUGUUGGAGUUUUGGUAAAAGUUCUUUGGAAUAGGACAUCAUAGAGGGUGAGAAUCCCGUAUUUGACCAUUAUUUCCAGCUUUGUGAUACACUUUCAAAGAGUCGGAUUGUUUGGGAAUGCAGUCCAAAAUGGGUGGUAAAUUUCAUCUAAAGCUAAAUAUUGGCGAGAGACCGAUAGCGAACAAGUACCGUGAGGGAAAGAUGAAAAGAACUUUGAAAAGAGAGUUAAACAGCACGUGAAAUUGUCAAAAGGGAAGCGUUUGACACCAGUGUUGUUUCUACGAAAAUCAAUUUAUGAUGGCUUGAUGCUAAGCUUUAAGACUUUAUCCGCUUGUUGUUUAGUUUUCUUGUCUUUGUGAAUGCACUUUUCGUGGAACAAGUCAACAUCAAUUUCUUUUGCUGUAAAAGGGUAAGAGGAAGGUGGCUUCGGCUUCGGUUGAAGUGUUUAUAGCCUUUUAUCUCUGCAGUCGGAGAGAUUGAGGUCUGCAGCGUAGACUCUUCGGGGUUAGAUACGUCGGUGCUAAGCUAUAGCUUUUCAUAGACAACUUGUUGACUAUGUUUAGUCAUGUGGCUUACCCGCUGGCGCUAUUUUACCUACGCUUAGGAUGUUGAGUCAUCACACAUCUCU